Molecule: ribosomal RNA, 247 nt
Filed under: uncultured bacterium
Lineage: Bacteria
Description: partial 16S ribosomal RNA
Rfam family: Bacterial small subunit ribosomal RNA
Source: RNAcentral
AUACGGAGGGUGCAAGCGUUGUCCGGAAUUAUUGGGUUUAAAGGGUGCGCAGGCGGGCCCGUAAGUCAGUGGUGAAAUCUCUCAGCUCAACUGGGAAACUGCCAUUGAUACUGCGAAGCUUGAAUAAGGUUGAGGUAGGCGGAAUGUGACAUGUAGCGGUGAAAUGCUUAGAUAUGUCAUAGAACACCGAUUGCGAAGGCAGCUUACUGGGCCUGAAUUGACGCUGAGGCACGAAAGCGUGGGGAUC